ACCUCCUUAGAGUUUGAUCCUGGCUCAGAUUGAACGCUGGCGGCAGGCCUAACACAUGCAAGUCGAACGGUAACAGGAUUAGCUUGCAAAUCGCUGACGAGUGGCGGACGGGUGAGUAAUGCUUGGGAACUUGCCUUUGCGAGGGGGAUAACAGUUGGAAACGACUGCUAAUACCGCAUAAUGUCUUCGGACCAAACGGGGCUUCGGCUCCGGCGCAAAGAGAGGCCCAAGUGAGAUUAGCUAGUUGGUAAGGUAAAGGCUUACCAAGGCGACGAUCUCUAGCUGUUCUGAGAGGAAGAUCAGCCACACUGGGACUGAGACACGGCCCAGACUCCUACGGGAGGCAGCAGUGGGGAAUAUUGCACAAUGGGGGAAACCCUGAUGCAGCCAUGCCGCGUGUGUGAAGAAGGCCUUCGGGUUGUAAAGCACUUUCAGUUGUGAGGAAAAGUUAGUAGUUAAUACCUGCCAGCCG
This 472-nucleotide ribosomal RNA is filed under the name Alteromonas sp. D80. RNAcentral's name for it is "bacterial SSU rRNA". It matches the Rfam family "Bacterial small subunit ribosomal RNA", at positions 1 to 478 of the family's 1533-position model. The record is from RNAcentral. Lineage: Bacteria; Pseudomonadati; Pseudomonadota; Gammaproteobacteria; Alteromonadales; Alteromonadaceae.